AUGCUCUCACUUCACAUUCAGUACAGAGUAUAUAUACCUCUCGCCGUCACAACAAUUCAGUCACUAGAGGUGGACUCAUCAUGGCAAAGCAGAGCAGUGCAGUACAGAGUAUAUAUACCUCUCGCCGUCACGACAAUUCAGUCACUAGAAGUGGACUCAAUCAUGGCAAAGCAGACCAGUGCAUUACAGAAUAUAUAUACCUCUCGCAGUUCAGUCACUAGAAGUGGACUCAUCAUGGCAAAUAGAGCAGUGCAGUACAGAGUAUAUAUACCUCUCGCCGUCACAACAGGCCAGUCACUAGAAAUGGACUCAGCAUGGCAAAGCAAGCAAUGCAGUACAGAGUAUAUAUACCUCUCGCCGUCACAACCAGAUAACGGUGGCCAGGUGCACCUCCCUGACCCGGAUUAUAUGGGUGCCAUUGGAGGAGCUCGUGGUGUGUGUCAUCGGGUCACAAACGAUCGAUCAUUGCUGCUGCUGCUGCUGUUGCUGUUGCUGGUACAUAUAUCUAAGGUGGAACUAUAUUUAUAG
RNAcentral lists this ribosomal RNA (528 nucleotides) under Triticum aestivum (bread wheat). Its description in RNAcentral is "partial small subunit ribosomal RNA". The record is from RNAcentral. Lineage: Eukaryota; Viridiplantae; Streptophyta; Magnoliopsida; Poales; Poaceae.